UGUAUCAAUGAUGAUUCCUUGGCUCCCUCUUCUGAACACCAUGAGGAGAUUGCCAUUGUCACCAAAUUCUUGUCUGAGACAUG
Molecule: small nucleolar RNA, 83 nt
Organism: Nerophis ophidion (straightnose pipefish)
Lineage: Eukaryota; Metazoa; Chordata; Actinopteri; Syngnathiformes; Syngnathidae
Product: small nucleolar RNA SNORD100
Exons: 1
Source: RefSeq, a predicted model, not a curated record